This 253-nucleotide ribosomal RNA is filed under the name uncultured bacterium. RNAcentral describes it as "partial 16S ribosomal RNA". It matches the Rfam family "Bacterial small subunit ribosomal RNA", at positions 524 to 776 of the family's 1533-position model. The record is from RNAcentral.
UACGGAGGGUGCAAGCGUUAUCCGGAUUUACUGGGUUUAAAGGGUGCGUAGGCGGGCUUUUAAGUCAGUGGUGAAAUCUCCGAGCUCAACUCGGAAAUUGCCAUUGAUACUAUUAGUCUUGAAUUAAGUUGAGGUGGGCGGAAUGUGUCAUGUAGCGGUGAAAUGCUUAGAUAUGACACAGAACACCGAUUGCGAAGGCAGCUCGCUAAACUUAUAUUGACGCUGAGGCACGAAAGCGUGGGGAUCAAACAGG